This 1359-nucleotide long non-coding RNA is filed under the name Olea europaea (common olive). RNAcentral describes it as "long non-coding RNA (OEUR_LNC012441)". The record is from RNAcentral. Lineage: Eukaryota; Viridiplantae; Streptophyta; Magnoliopsida; Lamiales; Oleaceae.
UUUGGGUGAAAUUAGAGUCCUCGAAGAGUAUAAUCCCUUUUAGUUUAAAUAAUAAGGUCAUUGAAAUUCAGCAAAUAAAGUGCUCAAGGACCCAAAUACCUUGGGUGGUAAAAAGGUAUCCCGAGGACUUAUCCUGAAGAUGCCGCCACCUAAAUUUCGUAGAUGUAUGUCAUUAGUCCUCUGGUAUUAACCUAAGGACACCAUCAUACCCAAGAACUCUCUGACUAAUUUAUGUUUAGCCAGCAUAUAUGAGUUCUCAAGGUAGAACUCCUUGAGAGGCAUGCCAAUAAUGAACAUAACACUAGUCCCCUGUGUAUCCGUUCCUAAAUGCUCGAGAUUUUAGGAAAAGGUGCACAAUAUGUUGAGAAUAUUUUUUGAAUUAUAAGAGUGGUCGAGCAUUUAAUGAUGAUCGAUACACGUGCUAAUGAGAUUGCUUAAUUUAGAUGCUGAGUACUGGGGUAAAUAUAAGGUGAUAUGAAGAGGUCCCUCGGAUGUGUGACAUGGCAUGAUCCAACGGUCUAGAUGGUGACCUUUGGCCUUCCACUUCUAUGCCUAUAAAUACUCGUUUUAACUUUCAUUUUUCACUUUUCACUCACCGUAAUUCUUUCUCUACAAGGUCGAGCUAUACAAAUUCUUAAAAAAAAAUUCUUUCGGGAGUCGGGUAAUUUUAAGGUAAGGUUCGAGACCUUAAGUUAUUUCCUUAGUUUAGCGAUGUUGAGUAGUGAGAGUGACCGGGACUCUGAUAGCUUGAAUAGUAGUGAGAACUUAGGUAUCUCGAUCAUUCCAAUGCCAGUGCCUCUUGAUGCUCGACCUAGGUAUCAGAUCAAUGUCGAGUUCAAGUCUCCUAAUGAGGCUUGUAGAUUUAAGAAACACCUAGCGAUAGAGGCUGCUAGAGAGAUCAAGCUAAUGCCCAAUUGUUAUAUUAGGUCCCUCGGUCCCAAAGAUAGGAUGGUGCAAGCUCGAAAAUGAGAUUUUGUAAAUUUUCUGGACACUCUUAAGGCCGGGUUUAGGUGACCCUUGUACCCAUUCUUUAUAGGUCUGUUGAUUGUGCAUUCCAUGUGCCCGAGGUAGUUAGUACCCAAUGACUAGAGGUUGCUCAAUUAUUUUUUCAUAGCUUAUAGGUACUUGGACAUCACACCAUACAUCGACCUAUGUCGCAUGGUGUUCAAGCUCAAACAACUUCCACAAUUUACCCCACUUUGCUUAUCUUUUGACUCGAGGUGGGUUUAAGAUCCCGACCUUACCUAACUUGUUAAAGGGAUGGACAGAAAAAUGGUUCUAUGUAGUAGCCCGAGACCCCGACUUUUUCUUCUGGCCCAGGUGGGGUAUUUCGGACACUACUAAUUUCUAUGAGGGUCG